UGGUUGAUGUUCCAUAGGUCUCACUUGCCUUCUUUUGCUGUAGCACAUGCCUGAAUUGAUGGCUUUGGAGGUUUGGCAAUUUGCUUCAGCUGACUGUCUUCAACAAGAACUUAAAUGCAGCUGCUAUGCCUUGGCUUAAUGAUGAGAAAGAUGUUGUUGGCUCAAGUUGUUGCGUGAUUUGCAGUGCAGGUUGUGUUGGAGCUCCCUACUAGGCUAGAACUGGGUCUGACAUGAGAUUAUGGUAUUGCUGCAGGUCUGAACUAGUUUGUAGGCUUAAAACAAGUUGGUCAUUGACACUCAUUAUUCUGGAUUAUGCAUUGAGGUUUCCGGUUGGUUUGUUAUUGCCAGGAGAUUGGUUCCUUUGUUGCAACCUUCAUAAGCCUUUCUCAUCAUCAUGAGUUAAAAGCCAAAUGCCUGUGUUAGUAUUUCCAAAUGGUUAUGUAUGUGGGUUUCAUUUGACUGUGGUGUUUAUGCAUGAUGAUUGCAGCUGGUAGCAGGUUUUUAUUUACAACUUCACUGCUUGGAUAUGUUUCAUUUGGAUUUUUGGUAACAUGUGAUGGCUCACG
RNAcentral lists this long non-coding RNA (566 nucleotides) under Lathyrus oleraceus (garden pea). Its description in RNAcentral is "Pisum sativum (pea) long non-coding RNA (PSAT_LNC019386)". Lineage: Eukaryota; Viridiplantae; Streptophyta; Magnoliopsida; Fabales; Fabaceae. The record is from RNAcentral.